CCUACGGGUGGCUGCAGUGGGGAAUAUUGGACAAUGGGCGAAAGCCUGAUCCAGCCAUGCCGCGUGUGUGAAGAAGGCCUUCGGGUUGUAAAGCACUUUCAGUGGGGAAGAAAGCCUUGGGGCUAAUACCCUCGAGGAAGGACAUCACCCACAGAAGAAGCACCGGCUAACUCCGUGCCAGCAGCCGCGGUAAUACGGAGGGUGCGAGCGUUAAUCGGAAUUACUGGGCGUAAAGCGCGCGUAGGCGGUCUGAUAAGCCGGUUGUGAAAGCCCCGGGCUCAACCUGAGAACGGCAUCCGGAACUGUCAGGCUAGAGGGCAGGAGAGGAAGGUAGAAGUCCCGGUGUAGCGGUGAAAUGCGUAGAGAUCGGGAGGAAUACCAGUGGCGAAGGCGGCCUUCUGGACUGACACUGACGCUGAGGUGCGAAAGCGUGGGUAGCAAACAGGAUUAGAUACCCCUGUAGUC
RNAcentral lists this ribosomal RNA (465 nucleotides) under Vreelandella stevensii. Its description in RNAcentral is "partial 16S ribosomal RNA". It matches the Rfam family "Bacterial small subunit ribosomal RNA", at positions 338 to 795 of the family's 1533-position model. The record is from RNAcentral. Lineage: Bacteria; Pseudomonadati; Pseudomonadota; Gammaproteobacteria; Oceanospirillales; Halomonadaceae.